AGUGAACGCUGGCGGUAGGCCUAACACAUGCAAGUCGAACGGCAGCACAGUAAGAGCUUGCUCUUACGGGUGGCGAGUGGCGGACGGGUGAGGAAUACAUCGGAAUCUGCUUUUUCGUGGGGGAUAACGUAGGGAAACUUACGCUAAUGCCGCAUACGACCUACGGGUGAAAGCAGGGGAUCUUCGGACCUUGCGCGAUUGAAUGAGCCGAUGUCGGAUUAGCUAGUUGGCGGGGUAAAGGCCCACCAAGGCGACGAUCCGUAGCUGGUCUGAGAGGAUGAUCAGCCACACUGGAACUGAGACACGGUCCACACUCCUACGGGAGGCAGCAGUGGGGAAUAUUGGACAAUGGGCGCAAGCCUGAUCCAGCCAUACCGCGUGGGUGAAGAAGGCCUUCGGGUUGUAAAGCCCUUUUGUUGGGAAAGAAAAGCAGCAGGUUAAUACCCCGCUGUUCUGACGGUACCCAAAGAAUAAGCACCGGCUAACUUCGUG
RNAcentral lists this ribosomal RNA (492 nucleotides) under uncultured bacterium. RNAcentral describes it as "partial 16S ribosomal RNA". It matches the Rfam family "Bacterial small subunit ribosomal RNA", at positions 29 to 507 of the family's 1533-position model. The record is from RNAcentral.